GGGCCCGUAGUUCAGCUGGCUAGAACGCUUGCAUGGCAUGCAAGAGGUCACCGGUUCAAGUCCGGUCGGGUCCACCA
RNAcentral lists this transfer RNA (77 nucleotides) under Candidatus Komeilibacteria bacterium CG_4_10_14_0_2_um_filter_37_10. RNAcentral describes it as "tRNA-Ala". It matches the Rfam family "tRNA". Rfam says of the family: Transfer RNA (tRNA) molecules are approximately 80 nucleotides in length. Their secondary structure includes four short double-helical elements and three loops (D, anti-codon, and T loops). The record is from RNAcentral. RNAcentral also lists the same sequence under 1 other name. Lineage: Bacteria; Candidatus Komeiliibacteriota.